CAUACAUUAUCAAGAGGUAGGUGCGCGAUAGAACAACUGAAGGGAAGAAGGAAGCGCGAAAAGGGGGUAGAAGGGAAGAGAUUUUCGAGGAGUGGCAGGGGAAUACACCCACACAAAAGGCUGAAGACCGAUGGGUUUAUCCCCCGGCGACUAGCAUAUCAAUAAGCGGAGSAWAAGAMACCAACARGGAWUACCUCAGUAACGGCGAGUGAAGCGGUAACAGCUCAAAUUUGAAAUCUGGCCUCACGGCCCGAGUUGUAAUUUGUAGAGGAUGCUUCGAGCAUGGUCCGGCCUAAGUUCCUUGGAACAGGACGUCAUAGAGGGUGAGAAUCCCGUAUGCGGCCGGGUGCCUACGCUCAUGUGAAGCUCCUUCGACGAGUCGAGUUGUUUGGGAAUGCAGCUCAAAAUGGGUGGUAAAUUUCAUCUAAAGCUAAAUAUUGGCCAGAGACCGAUAGCGCACAAGUAGAGUGAUCGAAAGAUGAAAAGCACUUUGGAAAGAGAGUUAAACAGUACGUGAAAUUGUUGAAAGGGAAGCGCUUGCGACCAGACUUGCGUGCGGCCGAUCAUCCGGUGUUCUCACCGGUGCACUCGGCCGUGCUCAGGCCAGCAUCGGUUUCGGCGGCUGGAUAAAGGCCCUAGGAAUGUGGCUCCUCUCGGGGAGUGUUAUAGCCUAGGGGUGCAAUGCAGCCCGCUGGGACCGAGGACCGCGCUUCGGCUAGGAUGCKGGCGUAAUGGUCGUAAGCGGCCCGUCUUGAAACACGGACCAAGGAGUCUAACAUCUAUGCGAGUGUUUGGGUGUCAAACCCAUACGCGUAAUGAAAGUGAACGGAGGUGAGAACCCUUAAGGGUGCAUCAUCGACCGAUCCKRAUGUCUUCGGAAGGAUUUGAGUAAGAGCAUAGCUGUUGGGACCCGAAAGAUGGUGAACUAUGCCUGAAUAGGGUGAAGCCAGAGGAAACUCUGGUGGAGGCUCGCAGCGGUUCUGACGUGCAAAUCGAUCGUCAAAUUUGGGUAUAGGGGGCGAAAGACUAAUCGAMCCAUCUAGUAGCUGGUUCCUGCCGAAUCUCCCUCCAAAAAAAAARCCGKCCUACUAGAUUGGUUCGCAUUAAGUCUUUCGCCUAAUACUAAAUCUGAACAAUGAUUUGCAAGGUCAGAAUUGCUCGAGCUUCCUCAAGUUUUCUCUGGCUUUCUUAUUCCGGGCUAAGGUACACUCUUGGGGGUCCACCGCCAUGCUCUACUAAAUCUUCAAGACUUCAGAUGGAUGAUGAUGCUUUGAGGUUCUUCAUCCUUCUUUUUAUAGCGUAUGGGUUUGAACUCACUACAUUCAGAGAUCUAGAUUCUAAAUGCGUUUCAGACGGGCUGACACUGAUAGUCACGACUGACUCAGGGGUGCAGGUCUAGCAUAUCGCAGUAGACAUCUGGGGACUUAUGUCUCACUCAAUGGCGGAAAGCAAGUACGUUGAAGUAGUAUGGCAGAAUGA
RNAcentral lists this ribosomal RNA (1479 nucleotides) under Chrysosporium merdarium. RNAcentral's name for it is "LSU rRNA". It matches the Rfam family "Eukaryotic large subunit ribosomal RNA", at positions 1 to 1108 of the family's 3401-position model. The record is from RNAcentral. Lineage: Eukaryota; Fungi; Ascomycota; Eurotiomycetes; Onygenales; Onygenaceae.